GACGAACCGUGCGAACGUUGUUCGGAAUCACUGGGCCUAAAGGGCGCGUAGGCGGCUUUUCAAGUCAGGGGUGAAAUCCGGCAGCUCAACUGUCGAAGUGCCUUUGAUACUGGGAAGCUCGAGGGAGGUAGGGGUGUGUGGAACUUCCGGUGGAGCGGUGAAAUGCGUUGAUAUCGGAAGGAACGCCGGUGGCGAAAGCGACGCACUGGACCUCUUCUGACGCUGAGGCGCGAAAGCCAGGGGAGCAAACGGG
RNAcentral lists this ribosomal RNA (253 nucleotides) under uncultured bacterium. RNAcentral describes it as "partial 16S ribosomal RNA". It matches the Rfam family "Bacterial small subunit ribosomal RNA", at positions 524 to 776 of the family's 1533-position model. The record is from RNAcentral.